AGCUGGAAGGGCCGAGAAUAGCGAGCAGCUAGGCUGAUAUAGCCAUGGCGCCGCCUCCUGCCUCGGGGAGGAACUGAAUUCUGUCCCAGCAUACUUUUUUAAGCUUGGUUCCUUUCUUAGUUCUUAAAACAAUGAUUGAGCGCCAACUAACUUCUGGGCGGUAUUUUGGUUGCUAAGGAGAGAUCACCAAGCUAUCCCUGCCCUCAAGGAACUAAAGAGAAACUGAAAUAUGUUCAGCAGUUGUCUUAUUUAACAUGGAACUUGCCACGGCAGCUGGAUUGGAUGGCUAGCAUAGCCUAGGGAUCCUACUGGGUCUGCUCCCUCAGCACUGAAGUAACAGGAAUACACCCUUUCUUCAUUAGAUCUGAAUUCAGGCUUCUGGGAUCAUGGCUUGUGAACAUCGCCUGAGUUUCUCAGCAGCAUUUGACCACAGGUGGCAAUGAUGCGUCUUCUUGGCUUGCAGAAUCCUUUGUCCAGCUCCGUAGUGUGCUAAGAGUGUGGAACUUUCCCUCCAAUGCAGAAGUGGGGAGCUAUUUUUUGAUAGUUGUGCCUGUCUGCUCAAUUGAUGUCAGUGGAGUUUGAAAGGUACCCUCAGAGCAUGGGUUGUCCUGAUGUCCUUCGUAUUCUGAUGUUAAUUCUGCUCCCUCAAAAGAGCUUGCCCCCACUUCCCCGAAAGGAGCAGUCUAUCACAUCCAUCACUGUUCAUCCAUCAUCACGGCUCGGCUCUCACGUACUCAGGUGAUCUCAUGGGAGUCUUCUCCCCAUUUAAACCAGUCAAUAAAGGUGGUGGAGGGGAAAGGUGGAACUAGAGGUUUUACAGAUGGAAGGAGAGGGAAGAGGAGGAGAGGGGAAGAAGAAAGGACUGAAGAAGAGGAGAAGGAAGCCAUGAUGGACUGGAACCACAUGCCCAGCAAUAAGCCAUCGAAAUCUUUUUUCCCAACUUCUCUUUCUCCCCAAGAGGGCCACUUAGAGGAGCGUGAAGACAAGUGAAGACAUGUAUGUAUGUGCACCAUGUGCACUCUGGUGUUGGCUAAGCUGUUAGAAGAAGACAUCCCAUUCACCCGGAUCUGGAGUUCCUGACAGUGGUUAGACACCAGUUCCAUUGAAGACAGUGCUACCCAAGUGAGCAUUCCAAAUCAUGUUUAAAGAGAGGUAAGAGAUAUGCUGCAGAGUCCAAAGAACAAGGUGGCUGUGGCUCAGAUGGCUUUACGUCUUUCAAGAACCAAGACCCCUGUUUGCUACAGCUCUGCUGUGCAAGCCCUGAGCACAACGCAGCUUUCUCUGACACACCAUCCCACAGGGACUUUCUCACCUAUACAGUGUUCUCAUGUCAAACAAGAUCAUUGUACAAGGUCUUUGUUACAUUGAACCCUGAAUUUAUUCAGUUAUGUUAAGUGCAAUAAAAUACCUGGGUUUUGUACUUGC
This 1425-nucleotide long non-coding RNA is filed under the name Mus caroli (Ryukyu mouse). Its description in RNAcentral is "lncRNA (MGP_CAROLIEiJ_G0006700.1)". Lineage: Eukaryota; Metazoa; Chordata; Mammalia; Rodentia; Muridae. The record is from RNAcentral.